CUGAAUUGUAGUUCCUUCUGAAGUAGGAGAUAAUGCAACUUUAAGGAGGAGGCAAAGCUGUUCUGACUAUUUUACAGUCUCUUGGGACACAGACCCAGAUUUUAGACAGAGGAUUUUUGAAGAGGCCCCGGGAGUUUCUUCAAUCCCAAUGGAAGAGGAAAGAAGCAAAUGGCAGCUAUAGCUGAAGCCUGGAAUCUUGGGUCUAAAAUACAGAAGACAAUAAGUAGAUCGAGUCCAGUUCUUCAUCCGAGUCCUCAAAGCAGCAGCGCAAGAACCGGGGUAGUGGCAAACCUAGUGAAACCACCAGACAGUGGCCCUCUGGACCUCUUCACAGACUCACUUGGUAAAGAUUAAGGAAGCAACUGCCAGUUGGAAACAGUGUGUUUGUUGAAAAGUAGUAGAACUUUCCAUAGAAAGAAAUACCAAUUUUGAAGAUUUUUCUUGUGCAUUCAAUACUAAGGGCUUUUCAUCCAGAGCUUAAAGACAAGAGAGACAACUAUGAAUUGAAAAAAGUCAUCUAAGUAAGAUAUUAUAAGAUGUAGUUCAUUUUAAAUUUAGCUAAAAUAAUUUCAAUUGUAAGGAUUUAUGGGACUUGUGUAUCACAUGUCCUGACCAACGCACAAGAAAAAAAAAAUCAUAUUCCACUUUAAUGAAAUCACAAAACAUUUCCUUGACAUUUGAUCCUGUUGCCUAAUAGCACUGUCUCAUCUUAUAGGCAACUUAGCUAAUGGUGGUGUAAUCAGAGAUGGCUCUUACACCACAUGAGUUGGAAAUAUAACAGUUAAGAAUGUAACAUCCACAUUUUCCACUUAAAUUUUGUCAUUAUAUUUUGAAGUAUCAACAUUGAAAAAGUGGUUUAAAAAAGAAUAGGAACUAUAGUGAAGUGACUUACGCUACUGAAAUAGAAUUAACAGUAAAAAUAAUUAUGAAUAUACAACUUCAAUGGAGCUGACACAUUCACUUAUAACAGUUUAAUGCCAUGCAUUAGAAAUUUCUACCAUUGUAUUUAAUUGCUGUAGUUAACAGAAUAGAAAAUAAAAGCUUUAAUCAGAGUUCUAACA
Long non-coding RNA from Phasianus colchicus (ring-necked pheasant), 1061 nucleotides. NCBI's taxonomy places the organism in Eukaryota, Metazoa, Chordata, Aves, Galliformes, Phasianidae. The record is from Ensembl.